GCGAGUCGAAUGUAGCAAUACAUGGCGUACUGCUCAGUAACACGUGGACAACCUGCCCUUAGGUCGGGUAUAAACCCGGGAAACUGGGUAUAAUCCCCGAUAGAUCUCGGCUGCUGGAAUGCACCGAGAUUGAAAGCUCCGGCGCCUAAGGAUGGGUCUGCGGCCUAUCAGGUAGUAGUGGGUGUAGCGUACCUACUAGCCUACGACGGGUACGGGUUGUGAGAGCAAGAGCCCGGAGAUGGAUUCUGAGACACGAAUCCAGGCCCUACGGGGUGCAGCAGGCGCGAAAACUUUACAAUGCUGGCAACAGCGAUAAGGGAACCUCGAGUGCCAGGUUACAAAUCUGGCUGUCGAGAUGCCUAAAAAGCAUUUCAUAGCAAGGGCCGGGCAAGACCGGUGCCAGCCGCCGCGGUAACACCGGCGGCUCGAGUGGUAACCGUUAUUAUUGGGUCUAAAGGGUCUGUAGCCGGCCGGAUAAGUCUCUUGAGAAAUCUGGCAGCUUAACUGUCAGGCUUUCAGGAGAUACUGUCUGGCUCGAGGCCGGGAGAGGUGAGAGGUACUUCAGGGGUAGGGGUGAAAUCUUGUAAUCCUUGAAGGACCACCAGUGGCGAAGGCGUCUCACCAGAACGGACCUGACGGCAAGGGACGAAAGCUAGGGGCACGAACCGGAUUAGAUACCCGGGUAGUCCUAGCCGUAAACGAUACUCGCUAGGUGUCGGCCACGGUGCGACCGUUGUCGGUGCCGUAGGGAAGCCGUGAAGCGAGCCACCUGGGAAGUACGGCCGCAAGGCUGAAACUUAAAGGAAUUGGCGGGGGAGCACCACAACGGGUGGAGCUUGCGG
Molecule: ribosomal RNA, 842 nt
Filed under: uncultured archaeon
Lineage: Archaea
Description: bacterial SSU rRNA
Rfam family: Archaeal small subunit ribosomal RNA
Source: RNAcentral